GAACGCUGGCGGCGUGCCUAACACAUGCAAGUCGAACGAGAAAGGGGCUUCGGUUCCAAGUAAAGUGGCGCACGGGUGAGUAACACGUAGGUAACCUGCCUCUAAGAUUGGGAUAACUUGUCGAAAGACGAGCUAAUACCAAAUAAGACCACAGUCUCCUCGGGGACAGAGGUCAAAGGUAGCCUCUAUUUAUAAGCUAUCGCUGAGAGAUGGGCCUGCGUACCAUUAGCUAGUUGGUGAGGUAACGGCUCACCAAGGCAAAGACGGUUAGCUGGUCUGAGAGGAUGAUCAGCCACACUGGUACUGAGACACGGACCAGACUCCUACGGGAGGCAGCAGUAAGGAAUAUUGGUCAAUGGGCGAAAGCCUGAACCAGCCAUGCCGCGUGCAGGAAGACGGCCCUAUGGGUUGUAAACUGCUUUUGCAGGGGAAUAAACCCCGGUACGUGUACCGGGCUGAAUGUACUCUGAGAAUAAGGAUCGGCUAACUCCGUGCCAGCAGCCGCGGUAAUACGGAGGAUCCAAGCGUUAUCCGGAUUUAUUGGGUUUAAAGGGUGCGUAGGCGGCCUAUUAAGUCAGGGGUGAAAGACGGUAGCUUAACUAUCGCAGUGCCUUUGGUACUGAUGGGCUUGAAUGGACUAGAGGUAGGCGGAAUGUGACAAGUAGCGGUGAAAUGCAUAGAUAUGUCACAGAACACCAAUUGCGAAGGCAGCUUACUAUGGUUUAAUUGACGCUGAGGCACGAAAGCGUGGGGA
This 754-nucleotide ribosomal RNA is filed under the name uncultured soil bacterium. RNAcentral describes it as "bacterial SSU rRNA". It matches the Rfam family "Bacterial small subunit ribosomal RNA", at positions 31 to 767 of the family's 1533-position model. The record is from RNAcentral.